Molecule: unclassified non-coding RNA, 264 nt
Filed under: plant metagenome
Description: partial contains small subunit ribosomal RNA, internal transcribed spacer 1, and 5.8S ribosomal RNA
Source: RNAcentral
GUUUCCGUAGGUGAACCUGCGGAAGGAUCAUUAUUGUAUAACCGAGGUGCGAGGGCUGUCGCUGACCCGAAAGGUCGUGCACGCCCGAGUGCCCUCACACACAUCCAUCUCACCCUUAUGUGCACCACCGCGUGGGUCCCCCUUUGGCUUGUUCGGAGGGGGGCUUACGUUUUCACACAAACUUUGUAUGCAGUGUAGAAUGUAUUUUUUGUUUUUGCGAUCACGCAAUCAAUACAACUUUCAACAACGGAUCUCUUGGCUCUC